RNA transcript from Gadus chalcogrammus (walleye pollock), 6363 nucleotides. It is a transcript of the gene named arf-GAP with coiled-coil, ANK repeat and PH domain-containing protein 3-like, with no coding region annotated. The transcript is spliced from 25 exons. The record is from RefSeq and is a predicted model, not a curated record. Lineage: Eukaryota; Metazoa; Chordata; Actinopteri; Gadiformes; Gadidae.
ACGCCUCUUCUCGGCAGUGGUGGCGUCAGCGUUGCCAGAUUGGGCCAUAUUUUCCGCCCAAUCUGGCAACAGUUGGUGGCGGCAGGCAGCGGCAGUACUGUAGUAGUAAUCUGCCAUGCAUUGAGCCUGCAUUCUGUUUCACAGCGCGUCCACGACCAUUGGGCGCAAGGGAAUACCAGUCGCAUUUAUUUUGCCCGAGCAAGUGACAACCGCCGCGGGCAAUGCCAUUGACUCACUGAAGGAGGAAUAAAAUAUACAUAUACAACGCAAAUAUGACGGUGGACUUUGAAGAAUGUAUAAAGGACUCCCCUCGAUUCAGGGCUGGCAUCGACGAGGUGGAGACGGAUGUAGUUGAGAUCGAGGCGAAGCUCGACAAGCUGGUGAAGCUAUGCAGUGGGAUGAUCGAGGCGGGCCGGGCCUACGUCAGCGCCAACAAGCUGUUCGUCAACGGGAUCAAGGACCUGUCGCUGCAGUGCAAGAAGGAGGAGAUGAUCUCGGAAUGCCUCGAGAAGUGUGGGGAAAGCUUGCAAGAGAUCGUCAACUACCAUACGAUUUUGUUCGACCAGGCUCAGAGGUCUAUCAAGCAGCAGCUUCACAGCUUCGUUAAGGAGGAUGUGCGCCGGUUCAAGGAGACCAAGAAGCAGUUUGACCGUGUGCGUGAGGACAUGGAGCUGGCCCAGGUGAAGAACGCCCAGGCCCCGAGGAACAAGGUGCACGAGGCGGAGGAGGCCACGCAGUCCCUCGUUCUGAGCCGCAAGGCCUUCCGCCACCUGGCGCUGGACUACGUGCUGCAGAUCAACGUGCUUCAGGCCAAGAAGAAGUUUGAGAUCCUGGAUGCGAUGCUGUCCUUCAUGCACGCCCAGUACACCUUGUUCCAGCAGGGGUACAACGUUCUGGAUGAGAUUGACCCCUACAUGAAAAAACUGGCUGUGCAACUGGACCAAUUGGUGAUCGACUCGGCGAUGGAGAAGAGAGAUCUGGAACACAAACACGCACUUAUCCAGCAGAGGACGUUAAUGCAGGACUUCUCCUAUGAUGACACUAAGGUGGAGUUCAACGUUGACGCUCCUAAUGGCGUGGUCAUGGAAGGAUACCUGUUCAAGAGGGCCAGCAAUGCCUUCAAGACCUGGAACAGGCGAUGGUUUUCCAUUCAAAACAGCCAACUGGUUUACCAAAAGAAACUCAAGGACUCUCUGACCGUUGUGGUGGAGGACCUGAGGUUAUGUUCUGUCAAGCCAAGCGAGGACAACGAGCGGAGGUUCUGCUUCGAGGUGGUCUCACCUACAAAGAGCUGUAUGCUGCAGGCCGAGUCUGAGAAGCUGCGUCAGGCAUGGAUUCAGGCGGUGCAGGCUAGCAUAGCCUCUGCAUACAGAGAGAUCACCGACAACUACUACAUAGAGCGCCUGGACCGCACCGCCUCGCCCUCCACCAGCAGCAUCGACUCGGCCAGCGAGCCCCGGGAGGGCCGGGGGGGGGAGCGGGCGGGGGACAGGGGGGUGCGGGGGGGAGGGGAGAGCCUCCUCCAGAGGGUGCAGAGCCUGCCCGGCAACGACCUGUGCUCGGACUGCAGCCAGACGGCCCCCUGCUGGGCCUCCAUCAACCUGGGGGUGCUGCUGUGCAUCGAGUGCUCCGGGAUCCACCGGAGCCUGGGCGUCCACUGCUCCAAGGUGCGCUCCCUCACGCUGGACUCCUGGGAGCCAGAGCUACUCAAGUUGAUGUGUGAGCUGGGCAACACUGUGAUCAACCACAUCUACGAGGGCACCUGCGAGGCUCUGGGCGCCAGGAAGCCAGGACCCACCAGUUCAAGGCAGGAGAAGGAGGCCUGGAUCAAGGCCAAGUACGUGGAGCGGCGCUACCUGAAGAAGAUGAGCGGCAGCGAGGCAUUGGUGGAGGGGGAGAGGAAGUCCCGCCCCUGGACGGUGAAGAAGUGCCCGCAGCACCGCAGCUCCCUGCGGGCGCCCCACAAGGCCCGCAGGAAGUACCACCGCUACGACCCCAGCGGCCCGGCCCCCGCCAACCUCUCUGCAGCAGCAGCGGCGGCCGCGGCGGCCAAGUUCCGUCGGGACUCUCUGUUCUGUCCCGAUGAGCUGGACUCCCUGUUCUCCUACUUCGACACCGGCUCCGGGCCUCGCAGCCCGGCAGGCCUGAGCAGCGACAGCGGCCUGGGAGGAAGCACUGACGGCAGCACUGACAUCGUCUUCGGCGCCGUGGUGGACAGCGUCACGGAGGAGGAGGAGGAGUCGGAGGAGUCGUCCAGCGGGGACGUGGAGAUCGAGCAGGAGGUGGCCUCCGACCCAGAGGACCCCCGGGAGCUGCACCCCGGGGCCCUGCUCCACCGAGCCUCCCGCCUCCACAACCUGCCGCUCAUGGCCGAGGCGCUGGCGCACGGCGCUGACCUGCACGCCCCCGGCGAGCAGGAGCACGGCAGGACGCCGCUCAUCGAGGCCGUGGUGGGGGGCUCUUUGAUAGCGUGUGAGUUCCUGCUCCAGAACGGGGCUGACGUGAACCAGAGGGACAUGCGGGGGCGGGGCCCGCUACACCACGCCACCAACCUGGGCCACACCGGGCAGGUGUGCUUGUUCCUGAAGAGAGGGGCAUCGCAGUCAGAGGUGGACGAGCAAGGUCACGACCCUUUGAAUAUCGCUGUCCAGGCUGCCAACGCAGAUAUCGUCACCUUGUUGCGUCUGGCGCGGAUGAACGAGGAGAUGCGCGAGGCCGAGCCGCCGCUGGGCCAGCCAGGUCAAUACCCCGGCGGCAGCCCCACUGAGCAGCAGUAUAGGAAGUGCAUUCAGGAGUUCAUCUGCCUCACCAUAGAGGAGAGCUAGGGGGCGCCGUGAGCAUCCCAGGGAGUAGCUUCCCCAUCCCUCCCUUGUAUUUAUUCCCAGACACGCCAUGGUGUAAAGCAGUGUAGAUGAAGUUGCCUCUCAGCAUGGGUACACAGUCUCGUUCCUCCUCAUCUGCAAAGUCAGUGGAGAGGUACUGGUUCAAGUUCUGGAUCUGUGGCUCAAAGGCAACUUUGUGAAGAACUUGAAGGGUUUUAUUGUGAAAAACCUCUAACUCCCAUGUGGGAUGAUCUUCCUUCCUGGCAUUAACUGUUUCUGUUUCUGGUCACCACCUGCUUUUUUCCCCCCCCUCUUAACACCACUUGCUUUUCUGCUUCGCUAUUACCAACUCUGUGUUGCUAACUACUGCGCUAGACAUGCACAGAACAGUUCAAUGAGGGCUGCUCUGGGGUUAAGACCUCUUCUCUGCAUGCUGGCGUUGUGCUAAACCUGCAUUGCCUUCUAACCUGUUGUUUCUAACUGAGGUCUAACCCCUUCCGGGACACUAGCUUCCUCCCAUUGCACUAAACAUCAGCGUCAUUCAGGAGAAGCUCAGUUACUCACAGUAAGUAUAGAUCCCACUCUGGCAGGUAGGCUGGCGCCAGAAGAGAUGCAAACCCAGGAGCCUUUGGGCUGGAAGGGAAUCAGCCUAGACACCCUAGGCUCCUACUUUUGGUUCACCAAGAAUUACAAUGGUCAUCUCUGAAUAAUUGUAUGUUCUACUCUGUGUGUUGAUAUAUAUAUAAUUAUAUAUACACAUCCAUAAAACACAAGCGAUCGGAGGGGUUUCUUAUAUAUAGAUAGAUUUAGGACUUCUAAGGUCAGUCUUGAAACUGUACUGUGGCAUGAGGUGACGCUGAGGCGUUUCAUAGAGAAAGAAGCGAGAAUGGAGUGGUGCAGGUGGUUUAGGGCUGGUGUUUACUGUGUGUACUGAGCGGAGAUCCAGUGGUGAUCUAGUGUUACAAACUGUGAAGCUGAGGAUGAAAAUGGAUUGUCAUGGGUGAGGGGGGACACAUGGCUGCUUUACCAUACACCGACCAUGUGAUGGAUUUGAGCGAGAGAGAAAGAGUGAGAAUGAGAGAGAGAGUUAAUGAGUGCAUGUGUCUAAGAAUACUGAGAGACAGAGUUAAACGCUAUGAUGUUGUCAUGUAUACCUUUAUGUACGAAACAAAUGUGCACUUUUCUAUCUAACGGCAGUAUUAUAAUUUUUGUUUUUGUUUGUUUGUGCUUGUUUCGUUUUCUGUCAGUUCUGUUCAGCGGAAACCAUCGUCACUCUUGUCUGAUUUUCUAUUUAUGUUGUUGGUCUGUCCGGAGGACGUGCAAUGCAGUAAAUAAGUUCUUAUUUUUUUAUAUUUUGCAGUACUUUAAAAAAGGACACCAUGUUGAUAAGCUGUAUAAAAUGCCACUCACCGUCUUUAUAUCCUUUAGUACAUACACAGAAAAGUUUAGUUAUUCCAUUUUUAGGGACAAUCAGUGAACAAACAUGUGUUUGUUUCCUGACUAUUCCAAAGUUAAUUAUCACUCAACGUCAGUAAUGAAUCAGUAAUACUAUUUUUUACUGAUGGUCGCAAACAUAACUUACAAUAGGAAUCCGUACAGCAGCAGUCCUUGAGACAGUAUUAACCAUACAUGUUCUGAUGUGUUUAUGCUGCCAUCAGUGUCUGGUCUUACUCAACGCCUGUAUUGUAGAAUUUUCUCAGCCAUAGAUAAUGGUAUCAUUGGUUCAUGUCAUUGAUUCCACAACUCCUUUGUUUGCAACAGAAACCACCUGGGGCCGUGCUUGGGUAAUACACAGAGUGAACAACAAGCACCAACCCUUAUCUUAAGGUCUAAGAGCACAGCCCUACUGUAUGUGCUCAAUGUGACUGCCAGACUUCCCCCAGAGUCAUAUGUGGACCAGACUGCCCUCAUGGCACUCAUGUAACCAACUAGGACCAACUAGGGACCCUACAUUCUCUUGAAUUUACAGUGUACUUUACUCAUCGGUAACAUACAUUUUCUGAGGUUGGCUCACUGAGGUUGACCAAAAUACGCAUGCUUUAUCAAAGUUAUCUUUGUGAAUGCCAACAUAAUCUGCGUUCCAAGCAUGAUGAAGUGCUGUUUUUCUUAUGGUUUGCUAAGUGAUGCUGUUCAUUAGAACAUGAACCACACUGGUUCUGAUGAUGUCUUUAUUCCACUAUUAUGGGACUCUCCAUGUGAGCCAAGAUCUUAUCUUUGAUAUGCUCACACCAGAUCUUCUGUUUCUUACUACCGAUGUCAGCCAGUUGUGUUGGCAUUGAUUUUUCUCUAUUUGAGUUUCCUCCUGCCAAAGACUCUAAAGGGAACGCGUCCAUCUUAGAUGUUACAUGUCACCUUUUUUUAUAUACAAAGAAAUGUCUGAGUAAAUACAAUGUUUUACCAUGCUUUGUGAUGUGAAAAGAGAGGUAAUAAUGCACUCUGGAUGUACUCAUCAUAUGAAAAAAAAAUAAUAAUAAUAAUAAAGUUAGAAGAAAUAGAGUUAUGGUACAGGCUCAUAACAUGUUGGAUAUAUCAGCAGGUAAUAUGCCAAUGCUCAGUGUACUGCGAGUAGAUUCAAUCUUAAGAGUGUGAUGAGAUGUUACCAAACUGUUCAGGGCACUCGCCCUUAACUCAAUGUUGGAUGUUGUUUCUCAUGGUGUGUGUUUUAACAUAGGAAUAGUAAAUGGUGCUUGAAAAUAACAAAAAAACUAACGCUGUACAUAGCAAUGCUUCUGGGUGUUUGACCUCAAAUGUAGCUCCCUGCCUCUCAGCAUUCAACUGUUUAUUCUGACUGAUCUGUUUUAAAUAGGUCUAUAUAUUUCCUUCCAAAGUAACAACAUGUCACACUACUGGAAUGUCGUGUAGCGCUCUGCAAGUUGGAGUUUAUUUCUGUAUACUUUUGUUCCUUGUCAAUAGAAAACGCUCAAAAGGGGGAAAUCUUAAAAGCAGAAAAUAAAAGGAAAAGAAACUCUUGCAAACUAACCCAGCUUCCGGAUUGUGCUGUCAUUUCUGCUUCUUACUCAUCUCUGUUUAUGUAACCUUCCCAACUUCACCCAAAGUUUUUUUUUGUAACUGUCAAAUACCUAGUCACAGAGAUGUUGUCUCUGGAAACAAGCCAGAGUCUGAGAAUGAGAACGUCAUCUUGUUGAAACACGCAGAACAUAUGAGUAUCACUCCAAAGACGUAAUUUGUGGUGGUUAAUAUCAGCAGCUUUGUCCAGCCGCAGGCCCAAAAAAAUGGCAUCCCCUCGAAACAGUACUAACAUGUAAUGAAUCAUUGAGGCUUAACUUAAAUCUGUAGAACACAUUUGCUCCUGCAAGCCAGGCCAUACCACUGAGUUACUGUACACAUGCUCUUUCUCACACACUGUUAUUGAUCCAAACCUUUCUCCAUCUAUUCUGAGAGGACAAGGGUGACUGACCAAUCAUUGCUUGUCUCGCCACAGGGGAAGCAGCGAGCAGCAGGAGGGUUAAACACAAGGAGGGACGGGAGAGAGUUACAUCACCCGUGUUGACGUCUUUCGCCAGUUUUCUCUCCUCGCGUC